GACGAACGCUGGCGGCGUGCUUAACACAUGCAAGUCGAACGGAAAGGCCCUGCGUUUGUGGGGUGCUCGAGGGGCGAACGGGGGAGUAACACGUGAGUAACCUGCCCUUGACUUUGGGAUAACUUCAGGAAACUGGGGCUAAUACCGGAUAGGAGCUCCUGCUGCAUGGUGGGGGUUGGAAAGUUUCGGCGGUUGUGGAUGGACUCGCGGCUGAUCAGCUUGUUGGUGGGGUAGUGGCUUACCAAGGCUUUGACGGGUAGCCGGCCUGAGAGGGUGACCGGCCACAUUGGGACUGCGAUACGGCCCAGACUCCUACGGGAGGCAGCAGUGGGGAAUAUUGCACAAUGGGCCGAAGCCUGAUGCAGCAACGCCGCGUGCGGGAUGACGGCCUUCGGGUUGUAAACCGCUUUCGCCUGUGACGAAGCGUGAGUGACGGUAAUGGGUAAAGAAGCACCGGCUAACUACGUG
RNAcentral lists this ribosomal RNA (468 nucleotides) under uncultured bacterium. RNAcentral describes it as "partial 16S ribosomal RNA". It matches the Rfam family "Bacterial small subunit ribosomal RNA", at positions 28 to 507 of the family's 1533-position model. The record is from RNAcentral.